GAUGAACGCUGGCGGCGUGCCUAAUACAUGCAAGUCGAGCGAACGGACGAGAAGCUCGCUUCUCUGAUGUUAGCGGCGGACGGGUGAGUAACACGUGGAUCACCUACCUCUUAGACUGGGAUAACUUCGGGAAACCGCAGAUACUACCAGAUAAUAUUUUCAACCGCAUGGUUCAAAAGUGCAUGACGGUUUUGCCGUCACUUAUAGAUGGUUCCGCGCUGAAUUAGCUAGUUGGUAAGGUAACGGCUUACCAAGGCAACGAUGCGUAGCUGACCUGAGAGGAUGAUCGGCCACACUGGAACUGAGACACGGUCCAGACUCCUACGGGAGGCAGCAGUGGGGAAUCUUGCGCAAUGGGCGAAAGCCUGACGGAGCAACACCGCGUGAGUGAUGAAGGUCUUCGGAUCGUAAAGCUCUGUUAUUAGGGAAGAACAGAUGUGUAAGUAACUGUGCACAUCUUGACGGUACCUAAUCAGAAAGCCACGGCUAACUACGUG
Molecule: ribosomal RNA, 497 nt
Filed under: uncultured bacterium
Lineage: Bacteria
Description: partial 16S ribosomal RNA
Rfam family: Bacterial small subunit ribosomal RNA
Source: RNAcentral